Molecule: ribosomal RNA, 104 nt
Filed under: uncultured bacterium
Lineage: Bacteria
Description: partial 16S ribosomal RNA
Rfam family: Bacterial small subunit ribosomal RNA
Source: RNAcentral
CCUUGUACACACCGCCCGUCACACCAUGGGAGCGGGUUCUGCCAGAAGUGGGUAGCCUAACCGCAAGGAGGGCGCUUACCACGACAGGGUUCGUGACUGGGGUG